GAUUCAAGUGCAGAAAGGCGGCGUAAGCUGUGACUUUACGAUGAGCCCGCGGCGCAUUACCUAGGUGGUGGGGUAAGGGCCUACCAAGGCGAUGAUGCGUAGCCGAGAUGAGAGACUGAUCGGCCACAUUGGGACUGAGACACGGCCCAGACUCCUACGGGAGGCAGCAGUAGGGAAUCUUCCACAAUGGACGCAAGUCUGAUGGACCAACGCCGCGUGAGUGAACAAGGUUUUCGGAUCGUAAAGCUCUGUUGUUGGUGAAGAAGGAUAGAGGCAGUAACUGGUCUUUAUUUGACGGUAAUCAACCACAAAGUCACGGCUAACUACGUGCCAGCAGCCGCGGCAAUACGUAGGUGGCAAGCGUUGUCCGGAUUCAUUGGGCGUAAAGCGAGCGCAGGCGGAAUGAUAAGUCUGAUGUGAAAGCCCACGGCUCAACCGUGGAACUGCAUCGGAAACUGGCAUUCUUGACUGCAGAAGAGGAGAGUGGAAUUCCAUGUGUAACGGUGGAAUGCGUAGAUAUAUG
This 523-nucleotide ribosomal RNA is filed under the name Lactobacillus delbrueckii subsp. bulgaricus. Its description in RNAcentral is "bacterial SSU rRNA". It matches the Rfam family "Bacterial small subunit ribosomal RNA", at positions 190 to 700 of the family's 1533-position model. The record is from RNAcentral. Lineage: Bacteria; Bacillati; Bacillota; Bacilli; Lactobacillales; Lactobacillaceae.